This 284-nucleotide non-coding RNA is filed under the name Paramoeba aestuarina. The record is from RNAcentral. Lineage: Eukaryota; Discosea; Flabellinia; Dactylopodida; Paramoebidae.
UUCUCUCUCUUCUUUCUCUGUCCCUUCUUCCUCGCCUUCUCCCUCUUCCUCUUCUGCCUCUCUUUCCCCUGAAAGAAGAGAAGAGCUCGUGAGGUUUUUUGUGGGUUUGAGAGAGAGAGAAAAGGAGAGGGAGAAAGAAAGGGAGACAGGGAGGUGGGUAAAGGCUUUUAAUGUUGUGAAAGAGGUCUGCGAAUCAACUUUUGGAGAAGAAAAUGAGAAAGAGAAAGGAGAGGAAAACAAAAUUAAAAUUUUUGUUUUUGGUUCUGUUCCUGUGGGUUUAAAUU